AUUGAACGCUGGCGGCAGGCCUAACACAUGCAAGUCGAGCGUGAAAGUCCUUCGGGAUGAGUAAAGCGGCGGACGGGUGAGUAACGCGUAGGAAUCUACCUAAUAGUGGGGGAUAACGUUUCGAAAGGAACGCUAAUACCGCAUACGUUCUGAGGAAGAAAGCAGGGGAUCGCAAGACCUUGCGCUAUUAGAUGAGCCUGCGUCCGAUUAGCUAGUUGGUGGGGUAAAGGCCUACCAAGGCGACGAUCGGUAACUGGUCUGAGAGGAUGAUCAGUCACACUGGAACUGAGACACGGUCCAGACUCCUACGGAGGCAGCAGUGGGAAUAUUGGACAAUGGGGCAACCCUGAUCCAGCCAUGCCGCGUGUGUGAAGAA
RNAcentral lists this ribosomal RNA (376 nucleotides) under uncultured bacterium. Its description in RNAcentral is "bacterial SSU rRNA". It matches the Rfam family "Bacterial small subunit ribosomal RNA", at positions 30 to 412 of the family's 1533-position model. The record is from RNAcentral.